AGUACAUAGAAAGCUUAAAGUACAUCACAACAUAACGGUGGGCCUCACCUACAUCAUGGGGUCAUAGCCAUUCGUUAAUAAGGUGCUUAUGGUGAAAGAAGAGGCGAUUCUACGAGAAUGGUUUAAAAUAGGGGUUUUUGGUCGACGCGGCCAUAUAUAGAAAAAUCCCAGUCAGAAGACGAGUUUCAACGGAUCAAAGGUUAGGAUUAUUCAACCAAUCUUGUUUUUUUUUUUUGGAUGGUGGCUCAGCGACUGCGUAUUAGGCGUCAUACGUAGCCAGAGUAUCAAACAACUCCUUUCACUGCUCUCUCUCACUCUCAUUUCUUUAAUUGGAAUAACGAUCCGUGUCCUGCACACAACCUGUUCGAUGGAAUGCUCAUGAGUAGAUCUUCACAUCAAGCUUCAAAGAGGAGGGAUAUAUGCAGAGAUGUUGAAGAGGGACCAGCUUUGCAUCCUUGAUUUUAUGAUCUUGUUGGUGGAUUAAGAACAAAAUGCCUCACCGAACAAGGCCUAUGACUGCACUCUUGGUUUUCAUGGGAGUUGAUGUUGUCUUGGUGUCGACAAUCACUCCGGUUUAUGAUUUUGUGUGCUUCCAUUCUUACUGCGAAAGAAGGAGAGAACAUCGUCGCCAGGAACGUGAAACUGCCAUGGCAAAGGGUCCCCAGUCAAGUUAAAGGGGUGGUGUUCAGAGCCAGAUAUUCUUUCAUACAGCUCGAGGAAGAAGAAAAGGCUUUUUAUUGUUGUUAUGGUGUUUGGUUUCACUCCAUGUGGGUGUGAUUGUUUGUUGAAGAAGAAUGAUAUGAUCUUCAACCUGAGAAAUGCACAUCCUACUUUGGUUUUCAGUUUCUACAGGUGAGGCUAUGGUUCCAUGAUCCAAACCAUUCUUUCGUUGGCCCCAUUUGUUGAUGGACCAUGGCCCUCAUCAGGAUGAUCGUUGUUGCCUUUCAAUUAUUUGGCCAACAAAUAGAUUUUUUUUUUUUCCUUUUGAAGGAUGAUCAGCAAAUAGAUAGUCAAGGUGACAAAUACUACAGU
Magnolia sinica is the source of this 1032-nucleotide long non-coding RNA. RefSeq lists it as uncharacterized. The record is from RefSeq and is a predicted model, not a curated record. The transcript is spliced from 4 exons. Lineage: Eukaryota; Viridiplantae; Streptophyta; Magnoliopsida; Magnoliales; Magnoliaceae.